This 505-nucleotide ribosomal RNA is filed under the name uncultured bacterium. RNAcentral's name for it is "partial 16S ribosomal RNA". It matches the Rfam family "Bacterial small subunit ribosomal RNA", at positions 28 to 507 of the family's 1533-position model. The record is from RNAcentral.
GACGAACGCUGGCGGCGUGCCUAAUACAUGCAAGUAGAACGCACAGUUUAUACCGUAGCUUGCUACACCAUAGACUGUGGGUUGCGAACGGGUGAGUAACACGUAGGUAACCUGCCUGGUAGCGGGGGAUAACUAUUGGAAACGAUAGCUAAUACCGCAUAAUAUUGAUUAUUGCAUGAUAAUUAAUUGAAAGGUGCAAUUGCACCACUACCAGAUGGACCUGCGUUGUAUUAGCUAGUAGGUGAGGUAACGGCUCACCUAGGCGACGAUACAUAGCCGACCUGAGAGGGUGAUCGGCCACACUGGGACUGAGACACGGCCCAGACUCCUACGGGAGGCAGCAGUAGGGAAUCUUCGGCAAUGGACGAAAGUCUGACCGAGCAACGCCGCGUGAGUGAAGAAGGUUUUCGGAUCGUAAAGCUCUGUUGUAAGAGAAGAACGGGUGUGAGAGUGGAAAGUUCACACUGUGACGGUAUCUUACCAGAAAGGGACGGCUAACUACGUG